GUCUAAAAAACACACUGUCUUUUCUUUUCGUGUGUAACAGCCAAGAUGAUCUGCUUUACACUUACAAUUCGUGUUGACUAAAUCCGAGCAAGUCUCCUUCCAGUUCCACCAUAAGUAACACACUGCAGGUACAGCUCAAAUCUUGCUCUAUUUCUUUUUUGUGUUGGCUCGAUCAGGUUUCUCCCAAAUCUAGUUGAUCGGAUAUCAUCAUGCUAUCUUGUUCCUUUCAGUAUGUGCCCACGUAUAUUAAAGCUGCACCUGAUUAUAUAUAGGCAUAGCAUGGGCUCAGACUUUUAAGCAUGCCACAUCUGGUUCUGUUUAUGUAGCCACCAUGUUACAUGUUCUGUACUUACAGUUCCUGGCGAUGUAUUCAAGCCUGUGAACACAUAUAUUUACACGUACCCCUGUUUAUAUCAAGGCCUCCCUGGUAGGUUCUUUUUAUAUGCUGCAUAGCAUGGAUUCGUCAUGUGAUUAUUAGUUAUUUUUAACCAAUGCUAGACCUAGCAUGUGUACACUCUAAUCUCUAAUGAUGUUUGUCUUUGUGUUCAGGAGCUCCAGGUCUACAAAAUGAAGUUCGAAACCAUAUAGCUCUACUCAGCAAAGAGUCGUCUCUUCUAUUUGAUUGUAAUAGAAUGUAAAUAUUGUAAUAUUGUAAUAGUAGGCAUAUCUGGGUUGUAAUAACUAUGUACAGAUUGUAGUAGACUUAGUU
Molecule: long non-coding RNA, 709 nt
Filed under: Triticum aestivum (bread wheat)
Lineage: Eukaryota; Viridiplantae; Streptophyta; Magnoliopsida; Poales; Poaceae
Description: long non-coding RNA (TAES_LNC022371)
Source: RNAcentral